UUAACCAUGGUUAAGUUAACAUUA
RNAcentral lists this small nuclear RNA (24 nucleotides) under Arabidopsis thaliana (thale cress). Its description in RNAcentral is "snRNA_07327". The record is from RNAcentral. Lineage: Eukaryota; Viridiplantae; Streptophyta; Magnoliopsida; Brassicales; Brassicaceae.